GCGGGCGUAGCUCAGUGGUAGAGCAGCGGUCUCCAAAGCCGCCUACGGAGGUUCGAUCCCUCCCGUCCGUG
Molecule: transfer RNA, 71 nt
Filed under: Streptomyces sp. SID5910
Lineage: Bacteria; Bacillati; Actinomycetota; Actinomycetes; Kitasatosporales; Streptomycetaceae
Rfam family: tRNA
About the family: Transfer RNA (tRNA) molecules are approximately 80 nucleotides in length. Their secondary structure includes four short double-helical elements and three loops (D, anti-codon, and T loops).
Source: Rfam by way of RNAcentral